AUCGUUUUCGGAAGCCAAACAUUAUUGAACAAUAAUUCAUUCCUCUGCGCUUUGGUGUCUAUGAUGGUGGCAAUGGCAACUACAACAGCUUGACCAAGGUCGUUGCUCAAAAUCUUUGGUUGUUUUUUUGACAGAAUAACGGAAAACAGGGUUGCCAAUCAUACUGGCCUUUCUGGACUUGCCUAAGAAUCCAACAUGAAAAUUAUUUGCAAGAAUGACUUUAUUAAGUCAAACUUCAAUAUCUGUAACAGGAUAGGUAUAGCAAUGAGUUUAUUUUUUGCAACUUAGCUCUGUUGACCCAAAAAACCGGAAAGAAUCACUUAAAUAAUUGCUAUAACGUUGUCCUAAUGUGACUAGUUCAUAGGCACAACCGCUCAAGUAUAUAGACUAAAAUAAUGAUGAUUAUUUUCCAUUUAGUCUCCCAUUCCUUAAGUAAAAUGCUCAGCCACUCAA
This is a long non-coding RNA of Glycine soja, 453 nucleotides long. RefSeq lists it as uncharacterized. The transcript has 2 exons. The record is from RefSeq and is a predicted model, not a curated record. Lineage: Eukaryota; Viridiplantae; Streptophyta; Magnoliopsida; Fabales; Fabaceae.